This is a long non-coding RNA of Dioscorea cayenensis subsp. rotundata (Guinea yam), 1694 nucleotides long. RefSeq lists it as uncharacterized. NCBI's taxonomy places the organism in Eukaryota, Viridiplantae, Streptophyta, Magnoliopsida, Dioscoreales, Dioscoreaceae. The transcript has 6 exons. The record is from RefSeq and is a predicted model, not a curated record.
CUUGAUAAAUAUGCAGACAAAUUUUCUUCCAUGCCAUACCGUUGAGCUUCGUCUGCAUCGGCACAACACUAUCCAUCACCGAAGCAGGCAUAAUAGAAAUACAGGUAAGAAUGGUUAUCGAUAAGUUUGGUAUACCAGCUAUUCACAAUUCAUGGUAUGAUGCAAGCCAAAUCGCUGAUCAUGUUCUACAAGGUUACACAAAGCCAUUGAGGUGUAAAGGUUGGGAAAUGGCUCUUUUGGAGUACACAAUAGCCAUGCUUACAGAUUCUGCAUCGAAAUCAAAGCCAUCACUAACUAGAAGACUUGCUGAGAUCUCAUGCCCUUGCAAUUAGGGUAAAGGGAGCUUAGAGUGAGUGUGAAUGAGGGAGCUUUCAUUUUCACUUGGCAGGGUUUUAGAUUUCUCAUCCUCAUCGAAGGCAUCACCUUAGCUGCUUAAGGCCUGUGAUUUUGGUCUCUCCAUGUUAGAGCACAUCACUUUUUUAAUCAUCAAAGUCAACUGAUGGAACGCCGGAAUGGAUGGCACCAGAGUUGUUGUGCAAUGAACCAUCAAAUGAGAAGUGAGGUCUGGUAUGAACCCAAUGUAGGUGGUGGUGCUAUUGGAUUCCAGUAUCGUCAUCUUUAGAUUCCAAGAGAGGUUGCCAAAAUAAUCUGGCAGUGCUGGCAAAAAGAUCCAAACUUGCGGCCUUUCUCUGCGGAUCUCACAAUAGCUCUCAAGUCUUUAUAGCGGCUUGUUGUCCCUGCUUAUCAGGAUACACAAAACCCACCUUUGGCCAAAGAAAUACAAGUAAACACAAUGCCUUGAACAUACUAAAUGGUAAACAAGCUAAGAGUAUUCAUCCGUUUAUUGCUUUUUGUAGUGUUUAUUAGUGCCCUUAAAUCAGGAGAUGUGAAGUGAAAUGCUAGUUUAGUUUGGCUUUUGGGCAAGAGCAAAAAGUAAUGCCCAAUUGGCCUGUGCAUAUGUUUUCCUUUUGGAGACUAUACAGGAAUGCUCUUUAUGUCUAUUUAGUAUAUAUUAGCUUGUAGGAGAUUCUUAGGGUGUUUUCUUUGCUUUGUGCCCAAUUGAAAACCAAGGACGUUUUAUAGACGAAAAUGGGAAGACCCUAUGGCUGAUUGUGAGGAAAGGGAGUGACACCCGGGUUAAGUGUAACUAAGAUGUGUUUUCUUUGUUUUGUCUCAGGAAUCUUUAAAAACUAGAUUCCAUUUCCUGAUUGAAUGAAUGAAUGAAUGGAGGAAAUGAAAAAAAGAAUAUGACAUUGCUAUAUAGGUGCCUGCAGUACAGUUGUUGGAAUUAUAUCUAUAUAUAUGAAAGUGUUAAUGUUCUUGCUGUGCCAUUUGAUUUGUGAAUAUUUUCAUCUAACAAUGGUUUCUAUUAAGCUCCAUGCAAACUUAUGCACUAUCUACUCUUUCAUUGUUGUGUUUUGUCAAAAUGUUUGUACCUUCAGGUCUUCAAGGAAAAUUAGAAACAGGAAAAUCUGCCAAGCAAUGGAAGUGUCUCGUAAAUUUAUCAUCUAUCAAAAAAAGCGACAGUGUUACAAAUGAAAAACACCAGGUAAAUGGUUAAAUAAAGAUUUGGAGAACGGAGGCCACAUUUGACAACAUGGAGCUGUUUGAUUAUGUAACUAAAUAAAUCAUUCUUUAAUGAUUGGACAAGUGAUGAACUGUUUAAGAAAAACUACUCAAUAUGUGAUGAGCGA